AUGCCUGCGGUCGUCCCCUCCAAGACUUCGCUGUUGGCAUGUCCAUCUACGAAGCCUCGACCGCCGGGCCCCCGUUUUCCUUCCCGGCGCUGGCCACUCCAUCGCCUUUCCGACAGACGCAUCUCCUCCGCCUCCACUUUGCCUAUGUGGGAUCACACUACCACUGACCAUAUGGCCGGUUCCUCAGGUCGGGCACCAGAUGCUCCGAACCUGCCAUAUCAUGCUCGGCUAUGGCGGGAACGAGACGAUCGCCUGGGCCACCUCCCAUGGUCCUCGGCAGCUCAAAAUAAGAGACAACUCGCAGCCAUUCUCCGACGACGACGCUUGCGGCUUGCCCAGCCGCCCUAUGCAGCCCUCCCGCCGUCAGCGUGCGAGGUCGCUACGGCCCGGCUACCUUGCGCCCUCUCGCUGUCUCUUUGGUCGCAGCCCGGUGCCGCCUUCCAGCGCAGAUGGGAGGCCGCCGCCUUGAGCUCGCGCCAGCCCUGCUGCAAGUCAACCGUGGAUGAGGUCGACCCGCACAGACGGGAGACGGCGCAGAGUGUUGGCCGCGCUCGCCGCCGUGGUAAUGGGCAUGGCCAGGCCAAUACGAUGAUGGACGAGAUGGUCUACAUCAUGAACAACAAGAAAGUGCACGACGGCACCCUCGCGGCCUCGCCAAAACCCCUGUGCCCCAGGCCCCUAGCUGACUUCGCCCUGGGCACAGAAAGCGGCGGCAGCGUCAGGGUGCCCGCUGCCUAUUGCGGCAUCUGCAGGCUCCGGCCCUCCCACGGACUGAUGUGCACUGAAUAUGUCGUCCUGAUGGCACAUAUGUUCGACACUGUCGGUUUCAGUUAUGCUUAUGCGAUAUUUGCCCCGCGAUGGAGCCAGUCGAACAUAUGUUGCUUUCACUGCAUGGCCGGGUCGAGCUGUGGAAUGCCCUGGGGCUACUCACUAAAGCACUAUACUCCUCCUACUCAUUGUCUUUCUUUCCUUCGAGGUUUAGGACAGUUCGUAAUACGCGUCUUCGAUAAUAUGCACAUCUCCAAAACGGUAUCCUGCAUGAGCAUUGCAGAAGUGUGGACCAAAGACCUUGUCAUGAAGGGCUUGACAUAUUCCUCAAAAAGAAAUGCAGAAUCCCAUCUAGGGACUUCCAGUAUUUUCUCUUUCAUCGGUGACUUCCACUUGAAUCCGUUCCCAAUGGAAGGCGCGACGUGCCGCCGCGCGGGCAUGCUAGUCCAUGACUACGGGUUGCCUUUCUUUUGGUCCUGGAGCCUCCAGAGAUGGCCAUUCCUUAACGCGUACUACCUUGUUGAAAAUACCCAGCGAACAACAAGACCUACUGCAGGCGAUUGA
RNAcentral lists this ribosomal RNA (1332 nucleotides) under Triticum aestivum (bread wheat). RNAcentral describes it as "partial small subunit ribosomal RNA". The record is from RNAcentral. Lineage: Eukaryota; Viridiplantae; Streptophyta; Magnoliopsida; Poales; Poaceae.